GAGAUGCCUGAUGCAAGGGUGAGGAUUCCUCAUCUCUUGAGGUUUUAAAAUGGGAUUAGACCUUGUUCUAAAUCUCAGGCAGGAGGUAGGUUUUUGUAGCAGGAAUCACUACGAGAAAUUCUACAGUCUCGUUCAGGUGGGGGAUAUGACUAAAUUGUCAUAAUAACCCUUUCUAGCCUAAACAUCUAUGAGGAGGAUGGGACAACACUGCCCAGGACCUCUGUCCAGUUAAGAAUCUAUGUCGCUGUCCAACUGCUUGACUUUCACUAGGGUACUACCUCUGGACUCUGCCUGUUACCUUCAGCCAACAAUGCCUCCAGUACCAUCGGUCCUACAGCAAAGAUGGGCUAAAAUUUCAAAAUCUGGAUCUGAAGUGCUGAUGGUGCCAAAAUGCAAGAGUACCUGGAUGCGUGGUUUUGGCUCAGCCAAGUCUUACUGAUCUCCCUGGAUCUUUUGAAGAAUGAGAUGGGUUUGAAGAAGAGGAUGACAAGUGCAAGGAGAUCAGGUCUACGAAGAAAUCCAGAAAGACAGCUAUCGUCUUUCACGGUACUUCUGGAAGCAGAGAGAGUCAGUGGAAGAUGCCUUCGAGUUGAGACGGAGGGGGACGGUUUUUUCCUGUUUAUUUUGGGGGAGAGAGAAGUCACAGAAAACAUUAUAGCCAAGGAAAAAAAAAAGGUCUGGAGCUGAGAGGAGUCCUCGAAACACUGUAAGAAAUGAGAACUUUUUUUUCUCUUUUUUUAAAGGGAGGGAAUUUGUAAUUUGCCAAAAGUUCUUCUACUUCUAAUGUCUGUCAACAGGCCACUGAACUUCUAUAGCAUUAAUUUUUCUCUCCCUGAUUCUCAGGUACUUCACACUCAGCUACAGAGUCCAUGAGACAAAGUUAUACCUAUGCUAAUCUAGGGUAACCUCAAGGAAGUAACUCUGGAUUGAAAGGGUUAUAACUGAGGCUAUGUCUACACUAUGGACUUCUGCUGGCAUCGCUGUGUUGAUCAGGGGUUUGAAGAGGAGUUUGAACAACAGAACUAUGCCCAACAGAAGCCCCUAGUGUAGAUGCAUUUUACUGAUAAAGCUCUACUUUUAUUGGUAUAGCUCAUUUCACUUGGGGUGAUUUUAUUAUACCAGUACUAAGCAUAGCUUUGCUGGUAUAUCUGUGUCCACACCUGAAGCAUUUGGCCUGUAUAGCAAACUGUUUUUUCUAUAAUAGUUAAGUCCUACUCGACAGAGCUAUAAUAUAGAAUUUACCCCUUUCAUCUCCUAAGGCUAUAUAAACACUAUCGUUCUGACUAUGCACCUAUCAAAUGCAUGUGGCAGAAAAAAUAGUGCCAUAUGAAUGUAUACAGUACAUAUACAACUGUAGUACAGUAUAUCACCUCAUUUGAGAGAAGCCUGCAACAUGAAUAAAAACAUUAAAAAAAUAAUAAUCA
RNAcentral lists this long non-coding RNA (1424 nucleotides) under Crocodylus porosus (Australian saltwater crocodile). Its description in RNAcentral is "lncRNA (ENSCPRG00005003839.1)". The record is from RNAcentral. Lineage: Eukaryota; Metazoa; Chordata; Crocodylia; Crocodylidae.